UACGUAGGGGGCAAGCGUUGUCCGGAUUUAUUGGGCGUAAAGAGCGUGUAGGCGGCCAGGUAGGUCCGUUGUGAAAACUCGAGGCUCAACCUCGAGACGUCGGCGGAAACCCUCUGGCUAGAGUCCGGAAGAGGAGAGUGGAAUUCCUGGUGUAGCGGUGAAAUGCGUAGAUAUCAGGAGGAACACCGGUGGCGUAGACGGCUUUCUGGACCGUAACUGACGCUGAGACACGAAAGCGUGGGUAGCAAACAGG
RNAcentral lists this ribosomal RNA (253 nucleotides) under uncultured bacterium. Its description in RNAcentral is "partial 16S ribosomal RNA". It matches the Rfam family "Bacterial small subunit ribosomal RNA", at positions 524 to 776 of the family's 1533-position model. The record is from RNAcentral.